UACGGAGGGGGCAAGCGUUGUCCGGAAUUAUGGGGCGUAAAGAGCGUGUAGGCGGCCAGAUAAGUCCGCUGUGAAAUCUCGAGGCUCAACUUCGAGCUGUCGGUGGAAACUAUCUGGCUAGAGUCCGGAAGAGGAGAAUGGAAUUCCUGGUGUAGCGGUGAAAUGCGCAGAUAUCAGGAAGAACACCCGUGGCGAAGGCGGUUCUCUGGGACGGUACUGACGCUGAGACGCGAAAGCGUGGGGAGCGAACAGG
This 253-nucleotide ribosomal RNA is filed under the name uncultured bacterium. RNAcentral describes it as "partial 16S ribosomal RNA". It matches the Rfam family "Bacterial small subunit ribosomal RNA", at positions 524 to 776 of the family's 1533-position model. The record is from RNAcentral.